This 1712-nucleotide ribosomal RNA is filed under the name Salmonella enterica. RNAcentral's name for it is "partial 23S ribosomal RNA". It matches the Rfam family "Bacterial large subunit ribosomal RNA", at positions 1083 to 2777 of the family's 2925-position model. The record is from RNAcentral. Lineage: Bacteria; Pseudomonadati; Pseudomonadota; Gammaproteobacteria; Enterobacterales; Enterobacteriaceae.
GCCCAGACAGCCAGGAUGUUGGCUUAGAAGCAGCCAUCAUUUAAAGAAAGCGUAAUAGCUCACUGGUCGAGUCGGCCUGCGCGGAAGAUGUAACGGGGCUAAACCAUGCACCGAAGCUGCGGCAGCGACACUCAGGUGUUGUUGGGUAGGGGAGCGUUCUGUAAGCCUGCGAAGGUGGCCUGUGAGGGUUGCUGGAGGUAUCAGAAGUGCGAAUGCUGACAUAAGUAACGAUAAAGCGGGUGAAAAGCCCGCUCGCCGGAAGACCAAGGGUUCCUGUCCAACGUUAAUCGGGGCAGGGUGAGUCGACCCCUAAGGCGAGGCCGAAAGGCGUAGUCGAUGGGAAACGGGUUAAUAUUCCCGUACUUGGUGUUACUGCGAAGGGGGGACGGAGAAGGCUAUGUUGGCCGGGCGACGGUUGUCCCGGUUUAAGCGUGUAGGUGUGUGUUCCAGGUAAAUCCGGUUCACUUUAACACUGAGGCGUGAUGACGAGGCACUACGGUGCUGAAGCAACAAAUGCCCUGCUUCCAGGAAAAGCCUCUAAGCAUCAGGUAACAUCAAAUCGUACCCCAAACCGACACAGGUGGUCAGGUAGAGAAUACCAAGGCGCUUGAGAGAACUCGGGUGAAGGAACUAGGCAAAAUGGUGCCGUAACUUCGGGAGAAGGCACGCUGACACGUAGGUGAAGUGAUUUACUCAUGGAGCUGAAGUCAGUCGAAGAUACCAGCUGGCUGCAACUGUUUAUUAAAAACACAGCACUGUGCAAACACGAAAGUGGACGUAUACGGUGUGACGCCUGCCCGGUGCCGGAAGGUUAAUUGAUGGGGUCAGCGCAAGCGAAGCUCCUGAUCGAAGCCCCGGUAAACGGCGGCCGUAACUAUAACGGUCCUAAGGUAGCGAAAUUCCUUGUCGGGUAAGUUCCGACCUGCACGAAUGGCGUAAUGAUGGCCAGGCUGUCUCCACCCGAGACUCAGUGAAAUUGAACUCGCUGUGAAGAUGCAGUGUACCCGCGGCAAGACGGAAAGACCCCGUGAACCUUUACUAUAGCUUGACACUGAACAUUGAGCCUUGAUGUGUAGGAUAGGUGGGAGGCUUUGAAGUGUGGACGCCAGUCUGCAUGGAGCCGGCCUUGAAAUACCACCCUUUAAUGUUUGAUGUUCUAACGUGGACCCGUGAUCCGGGUUGCGGACAGUGUCUGGUGGGUAGUUUGACUGGGGCGGUCUCCUCCUAAAGAGUAACGGAGGAGCACGAAGGUUGGCUAAUCCUGGUCGGACAUCAGGAGGUUAGUGCAAUGGCAUAAGCCAGCUUGACUGCGAGCGUGACGGCGCGAGCAGGUGCGAAAGCAGGUCAUAGUGAUCCGGUGGUUCUGAAUGGAAGGGCCAUCGCUCAACGGAUAAAAGGUACUCCGGGGAUAACAGGCUGAUACCGCCCAAGAGUUCAUAUCGACGGCGGUGUUUGGCACCUCGAUGUCGGCUCAUCACAUCCUGGGGCUGAAGUAGGUCCCAAGGGUAUGGCUGUUCGCCAUUUAAAGUGGUACGCGAGCUGGGUUUAGAACGUCGUGAGACAGUUCGGUCCCUAUCUGCCGUGGGCGCUGGAGAACUGAGGGGGGCUGCUCCUAGUACGAGAGGACCGGAGUGGACGCAUCACUGGUGUUCGGGUUGUCAUGCCAAUGGCACUGCCCGGUAGCUAAAUGCGGAAGAGAUAAGUGCUGAAAG